This 786-nucleotide long non-coding RNA is filed under the name Cavia porcellus (domestic guinea pig). Its description in RNAcentral is "lncRNA (ENSCPOG00000035968.1)". The record is from RNAcentral. Lineage: Eukaryota; Metazoa; Chordata; Mammalia; Rodentia; Caviidae.
CUGAGAUAUCUCCGCAAGGUGGAAGAAGAAAUGUCUGCAUUGGCUCAGCUAGCGCCGUUAGUGGACUAGAGGAAGCGACUGAAAGCCCAACGGUGCAGCUAGUAAAGGUGGAGGGAAUUGGGUAAGAAGUAAGGGGAGGGUGGGACCCCAACCUAGAGCAGCGAGUGACUGUACCAGCAACAAUGAGAACAAUUUGAAGAUUGUCCUGAGGGAGGGGUCGUCCCUCCUGCGCGGAAUACCAUGUUAAUUCUAGGGCAUUGAUGUUUUACAAUGCCUGAUCAAGACAAAAAGCUGAAGACCACAGAAAAGCCGCCUGAUAAAAAGCAGCAAGGAACCACCACCAGGGACUAUUCAGAUCUUAAAAGACUUCGGUGCCUUUUGAAUGUCCAAUCAAGCAAACAGCAGCUUCCAGCCAUUAACUUUGAGAGUGCCCAAAAUAGCAUGACGAAGUCUGAGACCGCCAUCAAGGCAUGCGGGCCCAGAGCUCGAGGUCAGUGGCAUGAGUCCACAGAAGCUGUCGAACUUGAAAAUUUUAGUAUAAACUACAAGAAUGAGAGGAAUUUCAGCAGACAUCCCCAGCAUAAAUUGUUUCAGGAGAUCUUUACAGCUUUGGUGAAAAACAGACUCAUAUGCAGGGAGUGGGUUAAUCGAGCCCCGUCUAUUCAUUUUCUGAGAGUGUUAAUUUGUCUGAGGCUACUAAUGAGGGAUCCAUGUUAUCAGGUCAGUUGGAAAAUUAUUUUUUACUUGUUACAAAGAUACAAUAAGCAAAAAAACCUUGUGGGCUUU